This 406-nucleotide long non-coding RNA is filed under the name Macaca nemestrina (pig-tailed macaque). RNAcentral describes it as "lncRNA (ENSMNEG00000046007.1)". The record is from RNAcentral. Lineage: Eukaryota; Metazoa; Chordata; Mammalia; Primates; Cercopithecidae.
GCAAAUGGCAGGUGAUUGUUAUCAAUCACAGGGAGUAAACCCAGUGAGCUCUCUCAUACUCAUCCUGACCUUGAAUUAACUUAUGCUGCCUUUCAGUGGUUAUUCUCAGAAGUGUCAAUAUCUAUUUUGGUUUUAUAUCACAUUGGAAGUGGAUUCCUCUGUGCCUCCUGUUUCCCCUUUGACAUUGAUAUGAUGAAGAGAUCUAAAAGAUUACCUGUGUCCUCCUUCUGGAUUUGGAUGAUCAAUUCUUCAUGGGCAAGCUUUCUUAGAUGAAGAAGCCAGACAUGGAAGACACCAUUGGAAGUAUUUGAUACACACAUGCCUUUCUUUGAGACCAGUUAACAGGUUUGUUGAGUUGUUUCUUUAUUAAUUUAUUUUUCAAUGCCAGUUUAUAGGGUACUUAAAU